This 403-nucleotide ribosomal RNA is filed under the name Salmonella enterica. RNAcentral's name for it is "partial 23S ribosomal RNA". It matches the Rfam family "Bacterial large subunit ribosomal RNA", at positions 394 to 688 of the family's 2925-position model. The record is from RNAcentral. Lineage: Bacteria; Pseudomonadati; Pseudomonadota; Gammaproteobacteria; Enterobacterales; Enterobacteriaceae. RNAcentral also lists the same sequence under 3 other names.
GUGCUGUGAGCUCGAUGAGUAGGGCGGGACACGUGGUAUCCUGUCUGAAUAUGGGGGGACCAUCCUCCAAGGCUAAAUACUCCUGACUGACCGAUAGUGAACCAGUACCGUGAGGGAAAGGCGAAAAGAACCCCGGCGAGGGGAGUGAAACAGAACCUGAAACCGUGUACGUACAAGCAGUGGGAGCCCCACCACCAAAGCGUUUCGCUUUGCGUGGUGCGCAAAAUGCGUAACGACAGCACGAUUGCGGUUAACGGAGCGUAAGCGACGUUCAACACAAGAAUCAGGCAGUGGAGCGUUUUGGGGUGGGGUGACUGCGUACCUUUUGUAUAAUGGGUCAGCGACUUAUAUUCUGUAGCAAGGUUAACCGAAUAGGGGAGCCGGAGGGAAACCGAGUCUUAAU